GGCUCAGUUGGUAGAGCAUGGUGUUUGCAAUGCCAGGGUUGUGGGUUCAAUUCCCAU
Molecule: transfer RNA, 57 nt
Filed under: Salmo salar (Atlantic salmon)
Lineage: Eukaryota; Metazoa; Chordata; Actinopteri; Salmoniformes; Salmonidae
Rfam family: tRNA
About the family: Transfer RNA (tRNA) molecules are approximately 80 nucleotides in length. Their secondary structure includes four short double-helical elements and three loops (D, anti-codon, and T loops).
Source: Rfam by way of RNAcentral